Molecule: ribosomal RNA, 483 nt
Filed under: uncultured bacterium
Lineage: Bacteria
Description: bacterial SSU rRNA
Rfam family: Bacterial small subunit ribosomal RNA
Source: RNAcentral
ACGCGAAGAACCUUACCUACUCUUGACAUCCAGAGAAUNCNNNAGAGAUAGCUUAGUGCCUUCGGGAACUCUGAGACAGGUGCUGCAUGGCUGUCGUCAGCUCGUGUUGUGAAAUGUUGGGUUAAGUCCCGCAACGAGCGCAACCCUUAUCCUUAUUUGCCAGCACGUAAUGGUGGGAACUCUAGGGAGACUGCCGGUGAUAAACCGGAGGAAGGUGGGGACGACGUCAAGUCAUCAUGGCCCUUACGAGUAGGGCUACACACGUGCUACAAUGGCGAGUACAGAGGGUUGCAAAGCCGCGAGGUGGAGCUAAUCUCACAAAGCUCGUCGUAGUCCGGAUUGGAGUCUGCAACUCGACUCCAUGAAGUCGGAAUCGCUAGUAAUCGUGGAUCAGAAUGCCACGGUGAAUACGUUCCCGGGCCUUGUACACACCGCCCGUCACACCAUGGGAGUGGGCUGCAAAAGAAGUGGGUAGCUUAACCU